This 447-nucleotide ribosomal RNA is filed under the name Triticum aestivum (bread wheat). RNAcentral's name for it is "partial small subunit ribosomal RNA". Lineage: Eukaryota; Viridiplantae; Streptophyta; Magnoliopsida; Poales; Poaceae. The record is from RNAcentral.
AUGGCCAUCCCACCGCAGCACAGCAGGGGCAGCAGAGCUAUCACGACGAAGCCUUUCGCUGCUGUGAGAGAAAGGAAGUCCAGGCUGAACUACACUGUCGCGGCCAAGAACCUGGGCAAGCUGGAGCCCAGGCAGCUCGCCCUCCGACUCCGACAGCUCGCGGCGUGCCUCCUCGUCCUCGUCGCUUGCGCAGGCGCGGCCAAGCUCCUCUCCACGCUGCUCUCGCCACGGGUCCCCUGGAUCGAGCCAGGGUCCAGGGCGGCGAGUUCUUGGGACCGCCGUGCUAAUGUGGAUGCAGAUGUACCACAAGGGCAUAGUACCUCUCCGGUUCUUGCAAAAUCCGGCAGUGAUCCAUCAGAAAGUUCACCAGAGUUAGUGUUGCCCGUCGUGGAUCCUGAACUUAGAAGUGACAGUGUCAAGAUUAAGACAUAUCAGAAAAUAAAUUAG